This 369-nucleotide long non-coding RNA is filed under the name Manihot esculenta (cassava). RNAcentral describes it as "long non-coding RNA (MESC_LNC009360)". The record is from RNAcentral. Lineage: Eukaryota; Viridiplantae; Streptophyta; Magnoliopsida; Malpighiales; Euphorbiaceae.
AACAACAGCUUCUUGUGCUCUCCUCACCUUUGCAGCAGCGACAAGCUUCAUGGCUUCGGUGAUCUUCUGUGUAUUCUUCACUGAAUCUAUACGACUUCGAAGCUCACGGAGACCACAGUGAAUUGGGGUUACAGAAGAGGAUCUUGGGGUGUUGCUGCUGGAUGAAGUGUGAGUAGGAAGCUGAAAAGGGUUGAGAGAAGAGCAAAAAGAUAGUGAAGAGGUGUCGGAAAGAGAUGGUUUUGAGGACAUCCACAUUGUCAGAUUCGAGCAAGACAUGGUGGUAAUGAAAUUUCCUGUAGCUCAAGCCAGAGAUCAAAGAGAAGAGAGAUCUGGCUGCUGUUCUUGCGAGUGCCUUAUCUUUUUUUCUGG